RNAcentral lists this long non-coding RNA (1799 nucleotides) under Felis catus (domestic cat). RNAcentral's name for it is "lncRNA (ENSFCAG00000049685.1)". The record is from RNAcentral. Lineage: Eukaryota; Metazoa; Chordata; Mammalia; Carnivora; Felidae.
CUUUUCUCAUAAUGUUCCUCAAAGUAGGAAAAUGUUAUAUACCUAAUAUAUUUCAGUGGAAGUUAGUGUUUAUUUUUCUGUAGAUUGUAAAAGUAAACCUUAAUGUAGUCAACAUUUGGAUUUGGCCAGAGAAUAAGUGGUAAUACGUGUAACUCAAAAUGUAUUUUGUUACCUCAAUUAUGGGACACCUUCCAUAUAACAUACUGUUUCUAUCUGGAUACAUACUAUCAAUGGCUGUGCCAUAGCAUUUUUUUUUUACCCACCUGCAUAUACUGAUGGUUAAACUCUGCAGAUACUCACUCCAUUCUUAACAAUAUCAUCAUCAAUAAGGCAAAAUAGACACAUAAAAAAUUAACUUUAAAACCAUGAACAGGGCAUAAAGAAAUGGCUCUGAGUAUAUGGAAGAAAAGGGAGAAAUAACAUGUUUCUUACAAAGGGAAACUUAGAUAAGCCUUCACAGAAGUGCACCUGUUUGUAUAGGAGUUUGAAGGAAGAAACAAAUGUACUUGAUGUUCAACAGAAAAAGGAGAGUGUAGAAAGAAGAAACAACCAAGAACAAUAGCUGAUAAAAGACUACAGCAUAUUCAGUAGAACUUAGAAUGCUCUGAUGCAACCCAUGUGGUUAUAGAGAAAAGUGGGAGAGGAGGAUAAUGGUUAAGAAGAUAUACUUGAAACAGAUGAUAAAAGGACUUAAAUGCUAUGCUGGAGAGCCUGGAUUUUAUUCUGCAAGCAUGGGGGAUCAAUAUAGAUUUUAAUUAGGGAUACAACACAAUGAAUUUUCUCAUUGGUAGUCAUGUGGAAGAGAGAGCCCUGGUUUUCAAAUCAAUUCUUCCUUCAGACAGUGCACUUGGGAUCAAAAAUUUAGCUUUCUGUUUGAAGAAAACUGGACUCAAUAUGAAUAAAUAUAUUUGUUCUGUGAGUAACUUUUUUCUAUUGUUUACAAAUACAUUUAAUAGGUUUUAUUCUUCUUCAUUAAACUUAUAAUUUUUCAGUCUCUUUGGAAGUCAGUGUGGCAGUUCCUUAGAAGACAAAACAUACCCUUACCAUACAACCCAGCACUUGUACUUCAUGGUCUGUGCCCAAAGGAAUUGAGAAGCUAAAACACACAAAAUUAAAGCAUACAAAAACCUGCAUAUGUAUCUACAUAGAAGUUUGUUAAUCAUUGCCAAAACUUAGAAGCAACCAAAAGGUCUUUCAGGGGGUGACUGGAUGAAUGAACUGUGGGAUAUCAGGACAACGGAAGACUAGUCAGUGUCGAAAACAAAUGAGCACUCAAGCCAUGAAAAGACAUGGAGAACACUUAACUACAUGUUACUAAGUCAAAGAAGCCAAUCUGGAGUGACUACAAAUUGUGUGAUUCCAACUCUAUGACACUCUGGAAAGGACAAAACUCUAAAGAUCAUGAAAAGAUUAGUGUCGCCAGGUGCCAGGAGGAGAGAUGAAUAGGCAGAGUACAGACAAUCUGUAGGGUGCUAAAGCCAUUCAGAAUGAUACAACGAUGGAUGUAUGUUAUUUUCAUUUGCCAAAAUCCAUGUACUAGACAACACUAAGAGUGAAUCCUAAUGAAAACUAUGGCCUUUGGAUGAUAAUAAUGUGUCGGUGUAGGCUCAUCAAUAAUAACAAAUGUAACAAUCUGGUGAGGGAUAUUGAUAAUGGAGAAGGCUAUGGAGGUAUGAGGACAGGGAGUAUAUGGGAACCUCUUAUACUUUCUGUCCAUUUUGCUGUAAACCUAAACUGCUGUAAAAAUCACGUUUACUAAUUAAAAGAAAUGAUAUGGAAGGUGCAAAAAGAGAUUCUCC